AGAGUUUGAUCCUGGCUCAGAGCGAACGCUGGCGGCAUGCUUAACACAUGCAAGUCGCACGGAGGGGGCAACCCCUCAGUGGCGGACGGGUGAGUAACGCGUAGGUAUCUAUCCACGGGUGGGGGAUAACAGCGGGAAACUGCUGCUAAUACCGCAUGAUGCCUGAGGGCCAAAGGCGCAAGUCGCCUGUGGAGGAGCCUGCGUCCGAUUAGCUUGUUGGUGGGGUAACGGCCUACCAAGGCGAUGAUCGGUAGCUGGUCUGAGAGGAUGAUCAGCCACACUGGGACUGAGACACGGCCCAGACUCCUACGGGAGGCAGCAGUGGGGAAUAUUGGACAAUGGGCGCAAGCCUGAUCCAGCAAUGCCGCGUGGAUGAAGAAGGUCUUCGGAUUGUAAAGUCCUUUCGGCGGGGACGAUGAUGACGGUACCCGCAGAAGAAGCCCCGGCUAACUUCGUGCCAGCAGCCGCGGUAAUACGAAGGGGGCUAGCGUUGCUCGGAAUGACUGGGCGUAAAGGGCGCGUAGGCGGUUUGGUCAGUUAGACGUGAAAUUCCUGGGCUUAACCUGGGGGCUGCGUUUAAGACGGCCAGGCUUGAGUGUGAAAGAGGGUCGUGGAAUUCCCAGUGUAGAGGUGAAAUUCGUAGAUAUUAGGAAGAACACCGGUGGCGAAGGCGGCGACCUGGUUCAUUACUGACGCUGAGGCGCGAAAGCGUGGGUAGCGAACAGGAUUAGAUACCCUGGUAGUCCACGCCGUAAACGUUGGGCGCUAGGUGUGGGGGACAUUCCACGUCCUCCGUGCCGCAGCUAACGCAUUAAGCGCCCCGCCUGGGGAGUACGGCCGCAAGGCUAAACUCAAAGGAAUUGACGGGGGCCCGCACAAGCGGCGGAGCAUGCGAUUAAUUCGAUCCACGCGAAGAACCUUACCUGGGUUUGACAUAUAGGGAAAUCUCACAGAGAUGUGAGGUCCGUAAGGGUCCUAUACAGGUGGUGCAUGGCUGUCGUCAGCUCGUGUCGUGAGAUGUUGGGUUAAGUCCCGCAACGAGCGCAACCCUCGUCCUAUUUUGCCAGCACGUAAUGGUGGGGACUCAUAGGAGACUGCCGGGGUCAACUCGGAGGAAGGUGGGGAUGACGUCAAGUCAUCAUGCCCCUUAUGUCCAGGGCUUCACGCAUGCUACAAUGGCCGGUACAAAGGGCUGCGAAACCGCAAGGUGGAGCGAAUCCCAAAAAGCCGGUCUCAGUUCGGAUUGGGGUCUGCAACUCGACCCCAUGAAGUCGGAGUCGCUAGUAAUCGCAGAUCAGCAACGCUGCGGUGAAUACGUUCCCGGGCCUUGUACACACCGCCCGUCACGUCAUGAAAGUCGGCAACACCCGAAGCCUGUGGCCUAACCCUUGUGGAGGGAGCCGUCGAAGGUAGGGCUGGCGAUUAGGACGAAGUCGAAACAAGGUA
Molecule: ribosomal RNA, 1446 nt
Filed under: metagenome
Description: bacterial SSU rRNA
Rfam family: Bacterial small subunit ribosomal RNA
Source: RNAcentral